Molecule: ribosomal RNA, 497 nt
Filed under: uncultured bacterium
Lineage: Bacteria
Description: partial 16S ribosomal RNA
Rfam family: Bacterial small subunit ribosomal RNA
Source: RNAcentral
GAUGAACGCUGGCGGCGUGCCUAAUACAUGCAAGUCGAGCGAACAGACGAUGAGCUUGCUCCUCUGACGUUAGCGGCGGACGGGUGAGUAACACGUGGAUAACCUACCUUUAAGACUGGGAUAACUUCGGGAAACCGGUGCUAAUACCGUAUAAUAUAUUGAACCGCAUGGUUCAAUAGUUAAAGACGGUUUUGCUGUCACUUAUAGAUGUAUCCGCGCCGCAUUAGCUAGUUGGUAAGGUAACGGCUUACCAAGGCAACGAUGCGUAGCCGACCUGAGAGGGUGAACGCCGACAGUGGAAGUGAGAGACGGUACAGACUCCUAGGGGAGGCAGAAGUAGGGAAUGUUGGGAAAAGGGCGAAAGCCUGAAGGAGCAACGCCGCGUGAGUGAUGAAGGUCUUCGGAUCGGAAAACUCUGUUAUGAGGGAAGAACAAAUGUGGAAGUAACUAUGCACGUCUUGACGGUACCUAAUGAGAAAGCAACGGCUAACUACGUG